UACGUAGGGUGCAAGCGUUGUCCGGAAUUAUUGGGCGUAAAGGGCUCGUAGGCGGUUCGUCGCGUCGGCUGUGAAAACCCGGAGCUCAACUCCGGGCCUGCAGUCGAUACGGGCGGACUUGAGUGUUGCAGGGGAGACUGGAAUUCCUGGUGUAGCGGUGAAAUGCGCAGAUAUCAGGAGGAACACCGGUGGCGAAGGCGGGUCUCUGGGCAACUACUGACGCUGAGGAGCGAAAGCGUGGGGAGCGAACAGG
This 253-nucleotide ribosomal RNA is filed under the name uncultured bacterium. RNAcentral's name for it is "partial 16S ribosomal RNA". It matches the Rfam family "Bacterial small subunit ribosomal RNA", at positions 524 to 776 of the family's 1533-position model. The record is from RNAcentral.